RNAcentral lists this ribosomal RNA (301 nucleotides) under uncultured bacterium. RNAcentral's name for it is "partial 16S ribosomal RNA". It matches the Rfam family "Bacterial small subunit ribosomal RNA", at positions 509 to 807 of the family's 1533-position model. The record is from RNAcentral.
CAGUCGCCGCGGUAAUACGGAGGGGGCUAGCGUUGUUCGGAAUUACUGGGCGUAAAGCGCACGUAGGCGGCUUUGUAAGUUAGAGGUGAAAGCCUGGAGCUCAACUCCAGAAUUGCCUUUAAGACUGCAUCGCUUGAAUCCAGGAGAGGUGAGUGGAAUUCCGAGUGUAGAGGUGAAAUUCGUAGAUAUUCGGAAGAACACCAGUGGCGAAGGCGGCUCACUGGACUGGUAUUGACGCUGAGGUGCGAAAGCGUGGGGAGCAAACAGGAUUAGAUACCCCAGUAGUCCCUGUCUCUUAUAC